UACGUAGGGUGCGAGCGUUAAUCGGAAUUACUGGGCGUAAAGCGUGCGCAGGCGGUUUUGUAAGCCGGAUGUGAAAUCCCCGGGCUUAACCUGGGAAUGGCAUUCGGGACUGCAAGGCUGGAGUGCGGCAGAGGAGACUGGAAUUCCUGGUGUAGCAGUGAAAUGCGCAGAUAUCAGGAGGAACACCAGUGGCGAAGGCGGUGCUCUGGGCCGGAACUGACGCUGAGGAGCGAAAGCGUGGGGAGCAAACAGG
Molecule: ribosomal RNA, 253 nt
Filed under: uncultured bacterium
Lineage: Bacteria
Description: partial 16S ribosomal RNA
Rfam family: Bacterial small subunit ribosomal RNA
Source: RNAcentral